ACGGGUGAGUAAUGUCUGGGAAACUGCCUGAUGGAGGGGGAUAACUACUGGAAACGGUAGCUAAUACCGCAUAAUGUCGCAAGACCAAAGAGGGGGACCUUCGGGCCUCUUGCCAUCGGAUGUGCCCAGAUGGGAUUAGCUUGUAGGUGAGGUAAAGGCUCACCUAGGCGACGAUCCCUAGCUGGUCUGAGAGGAUGACCAGCCACACUGGAACUGAGACACGGUCCAGACUCCUACGGGAGGCAGCAGUGGGGAAUAUUGCACAAUGGGCGCAAGCCUGAUGCAGCCAUGCCGCGUGUAUGAAGAAGGCCUUCGGGUUGUAAAGUACUUUCAGCGGGGAGGAAGGUGUUGUGGUUAAUAACCACAGCAAUUGACGUUACCCGCAGAAGAAGCACCGGCUAACUCCGUGCCAGCAGCCGCGGUAAUACGGAGGGUGCAAGCGUUAAUCGGAAUUACUGGGCGUAAAGCGCACGCAGGCGGUCUGUUAAGUCAGAUGUGAAAUCCCCGGGCUCAACCUGGGAACUGCAUUUGAAACUGGCAGGCUUGAGUCUCGUAGAGGGAGGUAGAAUUCCAGGUGUAGC
RNAcentral lists this ribosomal RNA (581 nucleotides) under uncultured bacterium. RNAcentral's name for it is "bacterial SSU rRNA". It matches the Rfam family "Bacterial small subunit ribosomal RNA", at positions 102 to 679 of the family's 1533-position model. The record is from RNAcentral.